GGAAGAAAAGUCCUAUCAAACAUCACGUCUAAAGCCUCCUGUUGUUGGCAUCCUGGCUGCUGAUAUCUGCAUCUAUUAUUUAAGUAUAACUGCAAAAUGUAAAAUCAUCUCCAGCUAUUUUUGCUAAAAAUGCAUCAAACUGUUGUUCAUUUCCGAUUUUUUAAAUUGCUAAACUCUCCGCUUUUCUUCUUAUACCCUUCAUAGGAUUCAGUAUUGUAGACUGCUCAUUUUAAAUCACCAUUAUCUGUGCGCUGUGUGCAUCUAUUUUCAUCAACAGCAUCCGACAACGAAGGCAGCAGCUUCCAUAAUACUCUGUAGAAGUAAUUGAAAGGACUGCUUGAUUUGCUCCUGCUGCAGCCUGGUGUUCAUCGUCGGUGAUCAUCAUUAUUGCAGCCGCUAUCACCGAUGCAGAAGCACUGGUGGGUAAAUGUUGUCUUACAACAGCGGUCAUCAUACCACGCAGAUUCUUCGGAGCAUGAUCUUCGGCAAGCGAUGCAAUCGAUGGUACUGCAGAUCCCGUCAAUGCCUGUUGUCUACCGAUCUUCAUGCCUGAUUCAUGCGGUAGAGCAUCAGCAACCGGUACCACUGAUGGCGCAGCAGUACUAGUUGACGGUUGCUGUCCAUGUUGCUGGCCUAACGGACGGAAUGGUGCAGGAACACCAGGUAAUGUUGACCGAUGAUGAUUAUUAUCACCGGCAUUCGAGACCAGCGCUGACACUGCAUCCGUUACCUUGAGCUGUUCAACAACACGGACUGGCAUUCUUUGUUGACUCGCGCUGACCGACCACUGAAUCCAUCGAUGGCACUGCACUUGUUGUCGGAAGUUGUCGAACAACACGGACCGAUGGCACUGCACUUGUCGUGGGAAGUUGUCCAACAACACGGACUGGUACAUCUGACUGACGAAACGAUUACACAUCCGCAAUGGCCGAAGGCAUCACUUGUAAAGAAAGUGGCACUUGAGACUCUUCCACAACUUCCUUUUAUACUGUAUUUCGAGUUGCCAGUGCGCAGACUUAUGAAUGAGUGGGAGGAGUCUAAGGACUUGUGAAGAAGGAAUGGGAUAUGGUGUGAUUUCGAUGAUUAUUGUGCCUGUUGCUUGUACUACCGAAUGUCGUCAAGCUACUCAUCACAUACCCGCGUUUUAUGUACCCAUUCUGGGUGUUUCCGGGUUACUCGCCAUCGCGCUGUAGUCGGAUCAUACUGCACCUGUCCUGAUUCGAUUAACGCCACCGCAAAGACAAAAUUAGAGCACGCGUUUGUAUUCCUCAUCCUCCGGCACCGUCUGGAGAAUGUGGGAGUCACUGCUCUAUAAAAACCACCGGACCACAAACUGGAAACAGCGGAAAACCCCGUGGGUCACCGGGCACCAACAUGCAUAUCGGCUGAAACUUGGAUCCAUGCUAAAUUGAAGCAAAGUUGAACUAAUAUGCCGUGCGAAAAAGCAAAAUAAUUAUUUCAUUUUAAUGUUUAUUAAGCUAAACCGACAUUAUAUUUUUCAUCUAAAACGUUAUUGUUGUGUAUUUUCUAAUCGCGUUUAGGCGUCGUGUAUCAGAUCGCAACUGCUAAUAAUUUCGUCGUGUGAGGCGGACUGUUAUGGAUGUACCAAAUCUUCAGUGAUGAUGAAUGCGUUCAUGCAUCUACGAGCCGGUAACUGGCGGUAUCCAGAUCAUCGUCGUACUGUUAGCUUACCUAAGCUACCGAAAUUAGCGACACUGUAAAAUCUGUGCUGUGAGAAUUACAGCUGCCGUACGAAGCGCAGCAUAUUGGAGCAAGCCCAAUCGGACAGCAACCACCUGGAGCAAACGUACACCGGACGAAUGGACGUGGUAGACGCGUUAUGAUUGCAAGGCGAUACUUGCGCUCUGAAAAUGCUAGCACAGAGUUUCAGAUAAACCGUUCUCAUCAAUGCCAUACCAUGUACGGUCGGUUAGUUACACUUCAUCACGAAGGACAAUCACAUCUCGGUAACGGAAUGCUGCCAACACGAUGAAGCUGGCUUAGUCCUCGAUGACGACAACAAAUUGUUUGAACAUGUUUAAUAAAACAAACAUGUUGUUUUGGUUUCUCAUAAUUAAUG
Anopheles merus is the source of this 2080-nucleotide long non-coding RNA. RefSeq lists it as uncharacterized. The transcript has 4 exons. The record is from RefSeq and is a predicted model, not a curated record. Lineage: Eukaryota; Metazoa; Arthropoda; Insecta; Diptera; Culicidae.